AGCUUUUAUCACCUGUUGAUACACUUCAUAGAAUUAUCUCUCCCCAAAACAUUUACUUGGACCCACAAGUAAAGGAAUAAGCUUGUAAGAAAAUGAUUAAAAUAGGUGUACCAGUAUUAUGCCUUAUUAUCUUGGUAUCUGUUAUUUAUGCUAAUAACGAAUGUGAACCAGGACACGACUGUCCAGACUACACUACGUGCUGUCCUCACUCGACCGACAAAUACAGAUGCUGUAAUGCAAAGAACGCCGUUUGCUGUGGCGACGAGAACUUCUGCUGUAAGACUGGGUCCGUCUGUGAUUACAUAAUAAAAACAUGUCGUCAGUCAAAGUCUGAGAACAUUCUUUUUUUCCACUGAAACUCUGUAAACCUGAUUCAUAGUUAAGCUUUUUUUUUCUUUUUCAACAACUGAUUAUAUGCAUGUAUUUUCAAUAAAAAUCAGGUUACAAACAAUAA
Molecule: long non-coding RNA, 454 nt
Organism: Limulus polyphemus (Atlantic horseshoe crab)
Lineage: Eukaryota; Metazoa; Arthropoda; Merostomata; Xiphosura; Limulidae
Exons: 3
Source: RefSeq, a predicted model, not a curated record